GUUAAGUAAUUGACAUUACGGUUGAGGUCUGUCAAUAAUCCUCUGAUCUCUUCCAUUUUUGUUUUGAACAGUACAAGAAGUGUACGUAUAAAUUCAUAAUUAUUAGAAGGAUCGUCUAGUUUUUUUAAACUAUCCUUCUUUUAAUAAACCUGAAAUGCGGGCUAAGUGGCGUAAGAAGCGUAUGCGAAGGCUAAAAAGAAAGCGCAGGAAGAUGCGUGCGAGAUCAAAGUAGAUCAUGAAAUUUCAUUUUCGCAUUUAUUUUCAGAAACUGAAGAUUCUAGAAGUGAAAUUUCAUUUGUUAGAAAAA
Long non-coding RNA from Diorhabda carinulata, 307 nucleotides. RefSeq lists it as uncharacterized. Lineage: Eukaryota; Metazoa; Arthropoda; Insecta; Coleoptera; Chrysomelidae. The transcript is spliced from 3 exons. The record is from RefSeq and is a predicted model, not a curated record.